UGUUAUUUUCGACAGUUUUGCAGCAGUGAUGGAACGGUUGGUGGUAAAUUCCUUUAGGUGGCAGCAGGACUGCGCUGUACACAUUCUUUUCCAUGCUGGCUUUAGAGGCAGAUAGACGUAAUGGUAGUUUUCUGUAAAACAAGGAAAAUGGGAUCCAAACCGGGGACUUUCCAGCGUAUUGUCUGAAAUGUAUACUUUGUGUAAUAGCGGACCGGACUGUGUGAGGUUAAUCGGCUUUGAAGGGGAAAGCUGUGUCUACAGCUCAGUGCUGAAUUCUGCCGCCGGGAGUGACGUGGCCGCGGACUGUCAUCGAGGGUUCAUUGUUCUGGUGCAGCAGUUGGAUCGCCGAUCUUCUUUGUGGUGCAGGAGUUGGAUCGCCGACCUUCUUUGUGGUGCAGGAGUUGGAUCGCCGACUUUCUUUCUGGUGAAGGAACUGGAUCGCUGACCUUCGACAUCAAUGGUUUUUUUUUUUUGUCGUGACAGGGAGUACAGCUUCUACAGAUUCAUGUCCAAACUGGAUCAUUACUCGAACCAGUUGAUGAAGGUGUUUAGAAAAAAGGGUGGAGCAGCAAGACACAAAAUAAGCAUGAUCAUGGCAGCCAUGGACAAGUCUCCGCUGGUCACGCUGCCCGGGCUCCCCUGUCACUCCUCUCCACCACCAAACUCUGAACCAGCGUUCACCCGUGGAGGAGGAGGUGUCUCAUCCCUGCCUGCCUCAGCCCGUCCCCGCUGCCCCAGCCUCUGGAUCUCCCAGCAUGCCACAACCACUCUCUGUCGCUCGCCCACCCCAGCGGGGAACUAACCUGGACCGCAGGUCUCCAGUAGCCUGUCUGCCCCACUUCCAGUCCGUAGUGAGUUCCUGAGUUUUUCCUGGCUUUAGUUUCACGUUUAUCUAGUCUUUAGUUUCAGUCACUCACUCCCCCUUAGGUCUUUUGGCAUACCUAAUUUGUAGCAAAAUAAAAUUAAUUUCUGCCUGAUCCAGCUGUGAGUCUGUGUGUUCUCUGCCUGGGUUCACCACUGCCCAUGACAGUUUGACAAUAGACAAAUCUGUAUAGUAUAAUUUCCAAUAAUAUUAAGGAAUGCUGAGGUAAAUAUUACAGUAACUGCAUUAAUGGAAUACAUAAAAAUU
Long non-coding RNA from Amphiprion ocellaris (clown anemonefish), 1129 nucleotides. The record is from Ensembl. NCBI's taxonomy places the organism in Eukaryota, Metazoa, Chordata, Actinopteri, Pomacentridae.